This 4547-nucleotide unclassified non-coding RNA is filed under the name Anthonomus grandis grandis. Its description in RNAcentral is "uncharacterized LOC126741028". The record is from RNAcentral. Lineage: Eukaryota; Metazoa; Arthropoda; Insecta; Coleoptera; Curculionidae.
GUUUGCCGCAAAGGAUAUUUGACUUAAUAUACCGCUGAAUUUUUUUUUCGAUUAUUAGCGAAUUCAGUUGAAUGCUACAAUGCGUAAUAAUAAAUUGUUUCGCGUCGCGUCAGUCCAGUCGUAUCGGUCACAACUAUAAUUUUGUCGAGUUAGAUACGUUGUUAAGGUAACAUUUUUUAAUACUUACGCGGCGCGUUUAGUUCAAAAGUGAAACAAUAACAAUAAACUUUAUACUAAAAAAUAAACAUUAAAAUAAAAGUGAUGGAGGGUACAACAGCCUCCGUAGAUUCUUGCUUCAUAUGCAAUGAGAGUUUAAGUGAGGGUGAGGUGAUUUUAGUGAAAAAGAAAGCAGUGGCAACAUUGCUUGCGUGUAGUAUUAAAUUAAAAAACCAGGAACAUGAACGUUUACUAAAGAAAGUGUGCGAGAUUUCAGUGCACCGUGCUUGUCAAAAACGAAACACUAAUCCCAAAUUAAUAAAAGCAGCUGUGCAACGUGGGGAAAACGAAGUAAGAUCAGCGAGACCAACAAGAAGCUCAACUCAGCAGUUCAACUUUAGAGAAAACUGUUUUUUAUGUGGAGAGCAGAUAACUGCUGAAUUCAUUGAAGCUCAGAAAAAAAACAAGCCCGAAAAAAGGAAUAAUGUGAUUGCCGUGGAAAACUUGCAGUUGGUUUCAUCCAUAUUAAAAGCAGCCAAGAAAAGAGGCGAUGAAUGGGCACUGAAAAUAAUCGAACGCAUUUCAGAAGAUACCGAUUUGCCUGCACUAGAUGCUAGAUAUCAUAAUUUUUGCCAGAAGAAGCUCUACCGACCUGUUAGAAUAAGGCUAGAAAGGGGAGAACACCUUCGUGGAACUGUUGAUGAAGCCAUGGACAAAAUUUUUGAUUUCCUGGAAGAAAACUCGGAAGAGUGUCAGUUUUCUUUGACGACGUUGACAGAGUUAUUAGGUGAGAAUACGCUUGAUGUACGAACUAUUAAAAGUCGCCUACUUAAAAAGUAUGGAGAUGACAUAACAGUAGUUACCACAUCAAACAAAACUCCGCUUUAAAUAUACAGGAUACAAAAUCUUAUCUGAUGCGUGGUAUACUGAACAGAUAUCCGAUCCCCAAGAAGAGCGACUCCGGGUGGUUAAGGCAGCAGCUGAUAUUAUCCGGGAGGAUAUUCGCUCUCAGGUAUGCAACACAGAAGAAUACCCGCCCUCACAUAAUUUUUUGCAAGAUGUGGAGUCCGUAAUACCAAACACGCUAAAAACAUUUAUGGAGACCGUGAUUGUAAAAAACAAACGAGGAUCUCUGGAUAAGUGGCAUAAAACGUGUGUUGCUCUGUCACACUCAAUAGUGUCAGCUGUGAGACCUGCCUCAUUCAUAUCUUCAUUGCUUCAUGGUGUAGGUGUUUAUUUGUAUCAUAAAUCUGCGUCCAGUCAUCUUGUUGACUUGUUGUUCAACAUGGGAUUUUGCGCGAAUUACAAAAAUAUUGUAAAAUUAGAGCUCCGCCAUCCUAAGAGCAGACCAAAUGCAACUGGAGCAGAGGAGUUUUGUGCAAUUCGCUUUUGACAACGCAGAUUUUAAUGUUAACACCCUGGAUGGAUUAGGCACCUUUCACGCUUUAGGAGGUAUAAUGAUGGUUACUCCUAGUGAAUCAAUUAUCCCAGAAGAAAGUUUUGCUCGAGUGGAUAGAUGCGGUGCAUCCCAGCUCAUUCGCCAAAGACCACCUAUGCAGUUACAAAUCUACCAUUCUUAAAUCAUCCUCCAACACAGUAUGACACUCUAUUAACCGCUCUUCGGGUGGCAAAUGAAAAAUGUGAUGCCUAUGGUCAAAAAACAUGCCUCGUGACGUUUGAUCAACCACUAUACAAAAAAGCUAAAGAAAUAGUGGAAAACUGUGCAGAUUCUGCAUUUAAUAACGUGGUUGUAAGUUUAGGAGGAUUUCACUUACUAAUGUCUCUUAUGGGAACAAUAGGCAAUAUAAUGGAAGGACUUUCAACUAUUUUUGCGCCAAACAGUAUUGACAAGAUAACGUCUGGGCACUCUUAUGCACGUGCUGUGAGGGCUCACACUCUUACUCAGCUAGCAUUAGCAACAGAGGUUGUUAAAACUGUAGAUCUAACUGACGCAGAUAAAGGUUUACUCGAUGAUGUGUUCUGCAGCUUUGACCAUUCUACCAUCUUAACGAUAGCCCAAAAUGGGCAAUUCCAACUUAUCCAAAACAAAGUUACUAGUGCGUUUGAUAAUCUUGAACUCAACGGUCCAACAGCAAAGCUUUGGGUUCAAUAUAUCCAAAUGGUAACUUUGAUGAAACAAUUUAUCGAGGCAGAGAGAAUGGGCAACUGGGAUCUGCAUCUAAAAACCAUUCAAAAAAUGCUGCCAUUUUUCCAUGCAGCUGACCACUUUUUUUAUGCCAAGUGUGCCCACAUGUACCUCCAAGACAUGUUAACACUGGGAGAAAGAAUGGAUCCCGCCGAAUUCCAACUGCUUACAAAAAGUGGAUACUUUACGAUUCGACGAACCAACAAAUUCUGGUGUGGUAUAUGGUCAGACAUGACAAUCGAACAGGUUCUUAUGAGGUCAAUGAAAUCAUACGGAGAUUUGACCCGGGGUCGCGGAAUGACAGAUAGUGUGCUAACCCGAUGGACAUUAGGAAUGAUCUACCUUCAAACAUAUGCACAGAUGUGGAAAGCUACUGCGGUUUUAUGAGUGGUACGUCUGAACAGCAUAUUGAUUUACGACAAUCCAGAAUGACUAGAGACGAAAAAGAUGUAGAAAAACUGCUUGCCUUCUUUGAUCUUCACGCACCAUUUCCCAAGAAUGAUUCCAUAAUUUCAUUGAGUAGUGGACUUGUUGGAACUAAAGAGGUAAACUGCCACAAUGCGGUAAAGAUUGGAAGAGAGAUGAUGUCAAAAGUUAUUGGUGAAAAUUUCGAAAAUGUAAAGUUUUCUAGAAAAACUACUAUCAACACGCUUGCCUCUGUUGCCUGCUCUGUUUUGAUUGGAGAGAGAAUGGUGACCGUUAAUCCUCUUACUCUGUUCCUCAGACUGCAUUUUAAAAAAGACUGAAGAAGAACUGAAGGAAUUUUUUGCACACGAAUUGUCGCCAUUUCCCAUGGCACUUUUUACUGAAAGUGGAAUUAGAAAAGGUACGAAGUCAACAUUUUAUGCAGCGUUUAAUUCUGUGACUCUAGAUGAAAAUGAGCAGAGGAAAAAUAUGUACGUAUUUGUAGAUGGUGGACAUCUGCUCCACAAAGUUGUGUGGCCUCGGAAUGUGUCUUUUGGAGAAAUCAGUGCCCGGUAUGUCAAAUACUUGAAAAGUCAAUACGGACCAAAUAUAACAGUGGUUUUUGAUGGGUAUCCAUCUGAAGCAUCAGAAAAAAGCACCAAAAGCUCGGAACGUCUUCGUAGAGCUAAAGCAACAUCCUCUCCUGAUGUUAUCUUCGACGAAACCACAAUUACUCCAGUUACUCAAGAGAACUUUUUAUUAAAUGACAGGAACAAGGUUAGACUAAUCGACAUGCUAAAGGUGCACCUAAAGAGGGAUCGAAUUGAGACCCUACAGGCAGAGGAAGAUGCUGACCGAUUGAUAAUAACAACAGCCAUUUCCAUGUCCUCUGCCUACGACGUAGUGAAGAUCGCCGGCGAGGAUAUUGAUCUGUUGGUUUUACUUUGUGGCUUGUCGCCAGAUGUAGGGGACAAGGCUCAUUCAUCAAACCGACCAAAGAAAAUCAUAUUUGAAAAAUGUGGGAGAGGUAAAAACCGAGACUUUAGCUACUUGUCAAAUUCAUUCACAUACCAAGCACAACCCGGAAUAGUCUUAUUUCUGCAUGCGUUCAGUGGUUGUGAUACCACAUCCGCCUUUUUUAGACAAGGAAAAAUUAAAUUUCUAUCGACACUAAAAACGCAGCGGCAGCUCGAACAAAACGCUGAAGUUUUUCUGAGCCCCAAUGCUACACCUAAGCAAGUCGCCGAAGCAGGAGAAAGCUUUCUCGUUUCACUAUGGAGGCAACAAUAAAUCUCAAAAUCUCAAUGAUCUUCGCUUCCAGUUGUUUACAAGAGCGGCAUCUAAGUCUAACAUGAACCUGGCCAGGUUGCCUCCAACCAGAAAUGCUGCAAGAUUUCACUGUCUGCGCACGUACCAACAGGUACACAAAUGGCUGGGGAACGAGAAGAAUCCUCUCGAUUGGGGCUGGAUCAGGAGUGCACAAGGCCUUAUUCCGCAACUGAAGACGAAACCACCAGCUCCUCAGCUCCUGCUCAACAUGAUUUCCUGCACUUGCAAGAAAGGUUGUACGUAUAACUGCGGCUGUAGAAAAGCAGGACUCAAAUGCUCGGCUAUUUGCAACCACUGCAGCGGUAAAUCUUGCGAGAACAUACCUGCCCUUAUUUACGACAUUGAUGAGACACUUUUUGACCAUCCGUCAGAUGACGAUUUAUAUCUACCUGAUGAGGAAGAAGUGCAGACAAGGCAAGCUGCCUCCAAAGCAGGUGCUAUAGAUUUAGGGGACCAGCCUGGUCCGUCAAAGAUUGAAAAAAUAACUAGAAUAAAUAUAAUAAAUUAGCAA